GGCACUUUGUCUCUGCCGGGUCCCUUUCGGAAAACCGGUGACCCGGCGGCCCGGCGCGUCUCGGGGCGGGGGCAGCACAGCGUGCACGGUCCUCUCCAAGCGUUUUGCUGGGGACAAGUGCCUUUCUCUGAGGUUUACAACUCGCCCCGGCUCUGCUCAGGCGCCCACGGUAGCCGGAACUGGGCUGCAGCCUCCCCAGAUCACACUAAACCCGAGCCGUUGCGAGGCCCCGGGUUGCCCAAAGAUUGACAACGAUCAGGAGCUAAGUCUGCUUUCCGGGGACCUCGUGGGGAGCUCUGUGCCCAGCACUUUUCUCUCGGACUCUCUGCUGGGGGAGAGAAAGAAAAGAAAAAAAAAGAAAAAGAAAAAGAAAAAGAAAAGUUUCUUUCGGGGGAAGCAGUGAAACAGGAAAUGAAGAUUCGCUCUGUAGUUUAGCUGAAAGGAAACGCUGUCUAAUCCUGACAUGUAUCGCAUUUAAAAUAAAAUUCUUUUAUCUUCAUGCGUGCCAAGCCCCCAGACAUUGUUCGGACUCCUACGGGGGGAAAGACGUCAUAAAAUGAGAAUUUGUUUCAUUGUGGGUCGCUCUGCCAACACCGGGCUUUAAAGGAACGCCAAACAAAGCGGGCGCCAGGAGGGGGCUUCCCAGGUGAGCCCGAGACGGGAUCGAAACUCCUCUCCAGUCCACGAAAACGCCCAAGAAUAAGUUGUGGCUCUCAACUUGAGUGUGCAGCACAAUCACGUGCAGAGCUUGGUCAGCUGAUUGCUGGACACUACGCACAAGGAGCAUGCCUGGAUACACAGCUUAGGGACAAGAAACCUACGCUCACCAAGUGUCCACCAGCUCCUCGGCAAGGAGGGAGUAAAACGAAUUUUUUCUGCCACAACUUCUCUAGGCAUUUGUCUGGUCUUCUGCUGGAAAAUGUGGAUGUGGUUGUGAUCAUACUAGACCCUGGGAAUAAGGACAAACCUGAUGAAUGGUGAAGUGAGCAGAAAGAAAGUGGAUCCCAGAGGACUUUUCAGAGAGGAGCUUCCAGGCCAGCCCUAGGCUAUACAUCUGUGGACUUUGAAGCAAGAGAUAACUACUAUCUGUAUAAGGAACUUAGAUGGAAGCCAAAAGACCCAGCUGAUAUAUGAUGGAAUCCACGCUGCCCCCAGUGUACCACAGGAGAGGCAGAGCUGUCCUUUGCUGCUGGUGACUCAGUCCCUCCAAUGCCCCUCUUCGUCUUCCCCCUGUGUCAGGCUAUUGGAUCACUGCAGCACCCCCUGGAGCCCCGAAGCCAUGGCCUCACCACCACAGUGACGAUUUCAAAUGCCAGCUCUGGCUGAGGCUAAGGUUGCUGGCAUGAAAUCAAGUCUGCCAUUAGCACAAUGUCCAGGGAACAUUUGGGCAGCUAUCUGUCCCUCUCAGCCCAGGUACAUGGGGGUUAUGUUGA
RNAcentral lists this long non-coding RNA (1433 nucleotides) under Homo sapiens (human). RNAcentral describes it as "HSALNT0305389". The record is from RNAcentral. Lineage: Eukaryota; Metazoa; Chordata; Mammalia; Primates; Hominidae.